RNAcentral lists this ribosomal RNA (464 nucleotides) under soil bacterium 03G-07. Its description in RNAcentral is "bacterial SSU rRNA". It matches the Rfam family "Bacterial small subunit ribosomal RNA", at positions 24 to 477 of the family's 1533-position model. The record is from RNAcentral.
UCAGAUUGAACGCUGGCGGCAUGCCUAACACAUGCAAGUCGAACGGCAGCACAGAGGAGCUUGCUCCUUGGGUGGCGAGUGGCGGACGGGUGAGUAAUGCAUCGGGACCUACCCAGACGUGGGGGAUAACGUAGGGAAACUUACGCUAAUACCGCAUACGUCCUACGGGAGAAAGCAGGGGACCUUCGGGCCUUGCGCGGUUGGACGGACCGAUGUGCGAUUAGCUAGUUGGUAGGGUAAUGGCCUACCAAGGCGACGAUCGCUAGCUGGUCUGAGAGGAUGAUCAGCCACACUGGGACUGAGACACGGCCCAGACUCCUACGGGAGGCAGCAGUGGGGAAUAUUGGACAAUGGGCGCAAGCCUGAUCCAGCAAUGCCGCGUGUGUGAAGAAGGCCUUCGGGUUGUAAAGCACUUUUAUCAGGAACGAAAUACCACGGGUUAAUACCCUAUGGGGCUGACGGUA